AGCGAACGCUGGCGGCAUGCCUAACACAUGCAAGUCGCACGGGGGGGCUUCGGCCUCCCAGUGGCGGACGGGCGAGGAACGCGUAGGGACCUGUCGAGGGGUGGGGGAUAACCGCGGGAAACUGCGGCUAAUACCGCAUGACGCCGCGGCGUGACAGCCGGGGCCAAAGGCGAAAGCCGCCCGCGGAGGGGCCUGCGACCGAUUAGCUGGUUGGCGGGGUAGCGGGCCACCAAGGCGUCGAUCGGUAGCUGGUCUGAGAGGGUGAGCAGCCACACCGGGACUGAGACACGGCCCGGACUCCUACGGGAGGCAGCAGUGGGGAAUAUUGGACAAUGGGCGCAAGCCUGAUCCAGCAAUGCCGCGUGGGUGAAGAAGGUCUUCGGAUUGUAAAGCCCUUUCGGCGGGGACGAUGGUGACGGUACCCGCAGAAGAAGCCCCGGCUAACUUCGUG
Molecule: ribosomal RNA, 451 nt
Filed under: uncultured bacterium
Lineage: Bacteria
Description: partial 16S ribosomal RNA
Rfam family: Bacterial small subunit ribosomal RNA
Source: RNAcentral